RNAcentral lists this ribosomal RNA (2414 nucleotides) under Enterococcus faecium. Its description in RNAcentral is "partial 23S ribosomal RNA". It matches the Rfam family "Bacterial large subunit ribosomal RNA", at positions 1 to 2425 of the family's 2925-position model. Lineage: Bacteria; Bacillati; Bacillota; Bacilli; Lactobacillales; Enterococcaceae. The record is from RNAcentral.
GGUUAAGUGAAUAAGGGCGCACGGUGGAUGCCUUGGCACUAGGAGCCGAUGAAGGACGGGACUAACACCGAUAUGCUUUGGGGAGCUGUACGUAAGCUAUGAUCCAGAGAUUUCCGAAUGGGGGAACCCAGCAUCUUUAAUAGGAUGUUACGAUUGUGUGAAUACAUAGCACAUUCGAGGUAGACGCAGAGAACUGAAACAUCUAAGUACCUGCAGGAAGAGAAAGAAAAUUCGAUUCCCUGAGUAGCGGCGAGCGAAACGGGAAAAGCCCAAACCAGCAAGCUUGCUUGUUGGGGUUGUAGGACUCCAAUAUGGUAGUUCUUUCAGAUAGUCGAAUGACUUGGAAAAGUCAGUCAAAGAGGGUAAAAACCCCGUAGACGAAAUGUGGAAGACACCUAGGAGGAUCCUGAGUACGGCGGAACACGAGAAAUUCCGUCGGAAUCCGGGAGGACCAUCUCCCAAGGCUAAAUACUCCCUAGUGACCGAUAGUGAACCAGUACCGUGAGGGAAAGGUGAAAAGCACCCCGGAAGGGGAGUGAAAUAGAACCUGAAACCGUGUGCCUACAACAAGUCAAAGCCCGUUAAUGGGUGAUGGCGUGCCUUUUGUAGAAUGAACCGGCGAGUUACGAUUGCAUGCGAGGUUAAGUUGAAGAGACGGAGCCGCAGCGAAAGCGAGUCUGAAUAGGGCGUUUGAGUAUGUAGUCGUAGACCCGAAACCAUGUGAUCUACCCAUGUCCAGGUUGAAGGUGCGGUAAAACGCACUGGAGGACCGAACCCACGUACGUUGAAAAGUGCGGGGAUGAGGUGUGGGUAGCGGAGAAAUUCCAAACGAACUUGGAGAUAGCUGGUUCUCUCCGAAAUAGCUUUAGGGCUAGCCUCGGAAUUGAGAAUGAUGGAGGUAGAGCACUGUUUGGACUAGGGGCCCAUCUCGGGUUACCGAAUUCAGAUAAACUCCGAAUGCCAUUCAUUCAUAUCCGGGAGUCAGACUGUGAGUGAUAAGAUCCAUAGUCGAAAGGGAAACAGCCCAGACCACCAGCUAAGGUCCCAAAAUAUAUGUUAAGUGGAAAAGGAUGUGGGGUUGCACAGACAACUAGGAUGUUGGCUUAGAAGCAGCCACCAUUUAAAGAGUGCGUAAUAGCUCACUAGUCGAGUGACCCUGCGCCGAAAAUGUACCGGGGCUAAACAUAUUACCGAAGCUGUGGAGUACACCUUUAGGUGUAUUGGUAGGAGAGCGUUCUAAGGGCGUUGAAGGCAGAUCGUGAGGACUGCUGGAGCGCUUAGAAGUGAGAAUGCCGGUAUGAGUAGCGAAAGACAGGUGAGAAUCCUGUCCACCGAAUGACUAAGGUUUCCUGGGGAAGGCUCGUCCGCCCAGGGUUAGUCGGGACCUAAGCCGAGGCCGACAGGCGUAGGCGAUGGAUAACAGGUUGAUAUUCCUGUACCCGUUGUUUUUGUUUGAGCAAUGGAGGGACGCAGGAGGCUAAGGAAUGCAGACGAUCGGAAAUGUCUGUCCAAGCAGUAAGUCUGAAGAGGAGUCAAAUGCUUCUUUUCUUAAGGACAAGCUGUGAUGGGGAGGGAAAUAAUAGUACCGAAGUUCCUGAUGUCACACUGCCGAGAAAAGCUUCUAGUGAGAAAACAGCGGCCCGUACCGCAAACCGACACAGGUAGUCGAGGAGAGAAUCCUAAGGUGAGCGAGAGAACUCUCGUUAAGGAACUCGGCAAAAUGACCCCGUAACUUCGGGAGAAGGGGUGCUGAUCAUACGAUCAGCCGCAGUGAAUAGGCCCAAGCGACUGUUUAUCAAAAACACAGGUCUCUGCAAAAUCGUAAGAUGAAGUAUAGGGGCUGACGCCUGCCCGGUGCUGGAAGGUUAAGAGGAGUGCUUAGCGCAAGCGAAGGUACGAAUUGAAGCCCCAGUAAACGGCGGCCGUAACUAUAACGGUCCUAAGGUAGCGAAAUUCCUUGUCGGGUAAGUUCCGACCCGCACGAAAGGCGUAACGAUUUGGGCACUGUCUCAACGAGAGACUCGGUGAAAUUUUAGUACCUGUGAAGAUGCAGGUUACCCGCGACAGGACGGAAAGACCCCAUGGAGCUUUACUGUAGUUUGAUAUUGAGUGUCUGUACCGCAUGUACAGGAUAGGUAGGAGCCGUAGAAAUCGGAACGCUAGUUUCGAUGGAGGCGCUGGUGGGAUACUACCCCUGCGUUAUGGCCACUCUAACCCGCACCACUAAUCGUGGUGGGAGACAGUGUCAGAUGGGCAGUUUGACUGGGGCGGUCGCCUCCUAAAAGGUAACGGAGGCGCCCAAAGGUUCCCUCAGAAUGGUUGGAAAUCAUUCGAAGAGUGUAAAGGCAGAAGGGAGCUUGACUGCGAGACCAACAAGUCGAGCAGGGACGAAAGUCGGGCUUAGUGAUCCGGUG